This 509-nucleotide ribosomal RNA is filed under the name Tudivasum spinosum. Its description in RNAcentral is "partial 16S ribosomal RNA". It matches the Rfam family "Bacterial large subunit ribosomal RNA", at positions 1817 to 2600 of the family's 2925-position model. Lineage: Eukaryota; Metazoa; Mollusca; Gastropoda; Neogastropoda; Turbinellidae. The record is from RNAcentral.
GGCUCUUCGUUUAUAUCAGAUGUGGAGUCGGACCUGCCCGGUGAGUUUUUAACGGCCGCGGUAUUCUGACCGUGCAAAGGUAGCAUAAUCAUUUGUCUUAUAAUUAAAGACUGGUAUGAAUGGUUUGACAAGAAUGCGACUGUCUCUUCAUAGUUAAUUAGAAUUUUAUUUGCGGGUGAAGAAGCCUGUAUAAUAUUAAAAGACGAGAAGACCCUAUCGAGCUUAAGGGAAAUUGAUAGUUUGUAUUUAAAUGGGUGAGAAAUAAGUCUAUUAUGGAUUUUGGUUGGGGCGACUAGGGAAUAAGAGUAGCUUCCUUUAUUGUUUAAUUUCUAACUGGUGUUGAUCCAAGAAAUCUUGAUUGAAGGAAUUAGUUACCGUAGGGAUAACAGCAUAAUCUUUUUUGAGAGUUCUUAUCGAAAGAAAGGUUUGUGACCUCGAUGUUGGACCAGAAUGUCCUAAAGAUGUAGAAGUCUUUAAGGGUUGGUCUGUUCGACCAUUAAAAUUCUACG